This 2410-nucleotide long non-coding RNA is filed under the name Sorghum bicolor (sorghum). RNAcentral's name for it is "long non-coding RNA (SBIC_LNC001126)". Lineage: Eukaryota; Viridiplantae; Streptophyta; Magnoliopsida; Poales; Poaceae. The record is from RNAcentral.
CCACAACAUUGCCACAAAUAUAAAUAUAAUAAGUUCAUAGAAUAUCACUAUAGAGCAUGAUGUGCAGGUCGUCCUAGUUACAUCAUUCGGCUACAAGCACAUCAGAACUAAAUUGUAAAAAAAAACAUGCAUUUAAUCAAACGCAUCAAGUGUAGGUUGCUGCAUAAUCAGUUCUGUCACAACUCUUUCUUGCAGGUUGCUGCAUAAUCAGUUCCUGUCACAACUCUUUCUUUUGCCUUUGUGUGCUACUCUCUGACAGCCAUUGCAACAUGGAAAACAAAAGCAAAUACUGGAGUGUCAAUGUCAAUAAAAAAAAUGCAUUGUUCAUCACAUAGUUUUCACUACCUUGCUCAUGUCUUAAAGACAACUAGUAGCAGGCGCGUGCCCUCGCGCGCGUUAUCAGUUCAUAAUGCUGAAUUAUGAACAAUCUCAUACAAUUUAUUAGGAUAGAAAUUAGUUAUAAGUUUAGUAAUCAAUGCAUAGACAUGCAUGAAUCUGUAUAUAUUAUAAGGUUUAUUAUUUCGAAUAUUACAUGCUAUUCAUUGGUUGCAUAACUUUACAUAAAAGGUUACAGGUUGCACAGAUAGCAUAUGGUCUGGUGACAACACAUCUACGACUUAAGGUGCCAGUGAUUAUGUUUGCAAGCAAAGUAAAAAAAACUAAAGGAUGUAAGAUUAAUGUCAAUAUAAUAAAGGGAUGCCAACUAAUAAAGAUGGAAUUAAUUUGUCCACACAACUAAGAUCACUCAAAUCAUAAAACUGAUAUCCACGUGUAUUGAAAUCACAUCAAUAACCUAGAGAAGGAAGAUACAAUAUGGCACUCAAAAUCUAGAAACUUGAAAUCCAUGAAUAUGGAGGUGAUAUCCAUGGAUAUGCAUUGUAACUAAAACUUCUGAAUUUUGAACCAAAGCAAAAAUAGUAGGAAGAAGUGUAAAUAGUAGGAAGAAAAAAACAUCAUAGAAAUCUGAAAUGCUAGUUAGGAGUCUAUAUUUUAAUAUAAACAAUUAGCCUUCCCUUAAUCACUAAAACAGCCGUAUAGUAGGAAGAAGUGUAAAUAGUAGGAAGAAAAAAAACAUUUCAUAGAAAUCUGAAAUGUUAGCUAGGAGUCUCUAUUUUAAUAUAAACAAUUAGCCUUCCCUUAAUCACUAAUUCAAAAGGCUGGUUACUCUAAACUGGCCUCUGAAAACAUGGUCAAUGAAGAAUAUGUGGUUACUCUAAGUGAGAUUUUCCCAAUAAAAUGUUUGCAGAGGAAUCGAAAGUACCAAGAUAACCUUUUAGGCCAUCUACAUUUUAUCAGGAUCGACAUGACCAAAAAGGUGUAACCUUUUAGGCACUAUAAAUUGAUCCUUAAUAGUUUAAUUGGUCAAAAAAUAUAGGUUGCACAUAUUUGAUCAGAUAGUGGGGCUACCAACUUUGUAAAAUCUUCAAACACAUACCCCCAAAAAAAUCUAAACACAUGUUUGGUUGCCUGACCUUCAUCUGUGACAUAGUGGCAUGUGAAUUAUAGGUACGUUAUGAAAUAAUCCAACUAUCAAUUGAUCAAGGGGGAAUAUCAAUCACCUCGGAUUAGAAGACGUAUAAGGAGAAAUCUAGUUGAGGGCCUGCGGCUCUGGCCAUUCCAGCAACUGGACACUUGGUAACCUUCAAAACAUGAAAGGAAAACAUAGUACACGCUUGGUAACUUUUAGCACAAAUUAGAAUGGGAACAUGCAGUGUACUGAUUCAGCUGCCAAAUCUAAACUCAGCGCACUGAUGAACUGUUUUUAGGAACAAGAAGAUUCAACUGGGACGAGAUUUAUGGGGAACAAGCGGAUCCCAUGGGUGAACCAACGGAUCCAACCAUGGAGACCCCAGAUCGACCCAGGAAAGAACGGCAACAAGCACAUACCGACGGUCGAGUUCUGCAUCGGCAAGAUAAGGAGAGGAGGAGCAAGGGAGAGAGGCCGCAUAGUCACCGUACUGGGAUUUGGCCUGUCCGACAUGGUACCUAAGGUUUCGCUUGGACGCUGCGCCGCGGCCUUGCGCCUGCCGCUGCAGCCUCACGCCCGCUAUCAUCGCGGGGGGCAGGGGAGAGAGGAGGAGGUGGUGGUGGAGGAGGAGGAGGGCGGCUGUGGUGCGCCACUCGCUCCCGUCAUCGUCGUCGACUCGUCGUCGUCCUUCGGGAGGAGGGAGGGAGCGAAGAGAGAGGAGGAGGAGAGUUGGGGAAAGGAGGCCGGCGAGAGAGAGAGAGAGAGAGACUGGGAGAGUGUGGAGGAAGCUAGGGUUUGGAGAUUGAUAUUUAUUGAUGUUAGCAUUGUUCUCCACCGUCUGAUCAGAUCGGUUGGCUGUGAACUAUUGGGCCCAUUCGUGGGCCUUUGGAUUUUCACUCUCAAAUGCAUAUUUGGGCCUUUGCAUUUAUCGACUGUAUCAUU